GGUUUAAUUCGAUGAUACGCGAGGAACCUUACCCGGGCUUGAAUUGCAGAGGAAGGAUUUGGAGACAAUGACGCCCUUCGGGUCGUCUGUGAAGGUGCUGCAUGGUUGUCGUCAGCUCGUGCCGUGAGGUGUCGGCUUAAGUGCCAUAACGAGCGCAACCCCUCUCCUUAGUUGCCAUCAGGUCAUGCUGGGCACUCUGGGGACACUGCCACCGUAAGGUGUGA
This 224-nucleotide ribosomal RNA is filed under the name uncultured bacterium. Its description in RNAcentral is "partial 16S ribosomal RNA". It matches the Rfam family "Bacterial small subunit ribosomal RNA", at positions 943 to 1167 of the family's 1533-position model. The record is from RNAcentral.